UGGGAUGUCGCCAAGUGGUAAGGCACUGGUUUUUGGUACCAGCAUCCGCAGGUUCGAAUCCUGCCAUCCCAG
Molecule: transfer RNA, 72 nt
Filed under: Ignavibacteria bacterium
Lineage: Bacteria; Pseudomonadati; Ignavibacteriota; Ignavibacteria
Description: tRNA-Gln
Rfam family: tRNA
About the family: Transfer RNA (tRNA) molecules are approximately 80 nucleotides in length. Their secondary structure includes four short double-helical elements and three loops (D, anti-codon, and T loops). Further hydrogen bonds mediate the characteristic L-shaped molecular structure. tRNAs have two regions of fundamental functional importance: the anti-codon, which is responsible for specific mRNA codon recognition, and the 3' end, to which the tRNAs corresponding amino acid is attached (by aminoacyl-tRNA synthetases). tRNAs cope with the degeneracy of the genetic code in two manners: having more than one tRNA (with a specific anti-codon) for a particular amino acid; and 'wobble' base-pairing, i.e. permitting non-standard base-pairing at the 3rd anti-codon position.
Source: RNAcentral